GCUGGCACCUGUUAUCCCAGCUACUUGGGAUGCUGAGGCAGAAGAGUUGCUUGAAACCAGAAGGCAGAGGUUGCAGUGAGCCGAGAUCACACCACUACACUCCAGCCUGGGGUCAGAGCGAGACUCCGUCUCAAAAAAAAAAAAAAAAAGACAAUGUAACAGAAUCUCUGGAACACAGCUAAAGCAGUGUUAACAGGGAAAUUUAUAGCACUAAGUACUCACAUCAAAAAGCUAGAAAGAUCUUAAAUGGACACCCUAACAUCAUAACUAAAAGAACGAGAAAACCAAGAGCAAACAAAACUUCAAGCUAGCAGAAGACAAGAAAUAACCAGAUUCAGAGUGGAAGUGAACGACAUAAAGACCCAAAAAACCCUUCAAAAAAACUCAAUGAAUCCAGGAGCUGGUUUUUUUUGACAAAACUAAUAAAAUAGACUGCUAGCUAGACUAAUAAAACAAGAGAGAAAAAUGCAAUAAACAAUAAAAAAUGAUAAAGGGGCUAUCAUCACUGACCCCACAGAAAUAAAAACAAUGUUCGGAAAAUACUAUAAACACCUCUGUGCACAUAAACUGGAACAUCUAGAAGAAAUGGAUAAAUUCCUGGACACAUCCAUCCUUUCAAGACUGAACCAGGAAGAAGUUGAAUCGCUGCAUAGACCAAUGACAAGUUCUGAAAUUGAGGCGGGAACAGCCUACCAACAAAAAAAGUCCAGGAUCAGAUAAAUUUAUAGCUGAAUUCUACCAGAGGCACAAAGAGGAUCUGGUACCAUUUCUUCUGAAACGAUUCCAAAUGAUGGAAAAGGAGGGGCCUCUCCUUAACUCAUUCUAUGAGGCCAGCAUCACCCUGAUAUCAAGACCUGGCAGAGAUAUAACAAAAUAAAACAACAACAACAACACACACACACACACACACACACACAAACCUUCAAGUCAAUAUUCCUGAUAAACAUCAAUGCAAAAAUUCUCAAUAAAAUGCUGGCAAACUGAAUCCAGCAGCACGUCAAAAAGCUUUAUUCCCAGGAUGCAAGGCUGGUUCAACAUACAAAAAUUGAUGUAAUUCAAGUCAGCUUUAUUCCCGGGAUGGAAGGCUGGUUCAGCAUACAAAAAUCGAUGUAAUUCAUCACAUAAACAGAUCUAAAGACAAAAACUACAUGAUUAUCUCAAAAAUGCGGAAAAGGCCUUCGAACAAAUUCAACAUCCCUUCAUGUUAAAAACUCUCAAUAAACAAGGUAUUCAUGAAACAUACAUCAAAAUAAUAAGAUCUAUGACAAACCCAUAGCCGAUAUAAAAGGGCAAAAGCUGGAAGCAUUCCCCUUGAAAACUGGCACUAGAUGAGGAUGCCCUCUCCCCACCACUCCUAUUUAACAUAGUAUUGGAAGUUCUGGCCAGGGAAAUCAGGCGAGAGAAAUAAAUAAGUGAUAUUCAAAUAGGAAGUCAAACUGUCUCUGUUUGUAGAUGACAUGAUCCUAGAUCUAGAAAGCCCCAUUGUCUCAGCCCAAAAGCUUCUUCAUCUAAUAAGCAGCUUCAGCAAAGUCUCAGGAUACAAAAUCAAUGUGCCAAAAUCACAAACAUUUCAAUACACCAACAAUAAACAAACAGAGAGCGAAAUCAUGAAUAAACUCCCAUUCACAAUUGCUACAAAGAGAACAAAGUACCAAGGAGUAAAUCUAACAAGGGAAGUGAAGGACCUCUUCAAGGAGAACUACAAACCACUGCCCAAGAAAAUCAGAGAGGACACAAACAAAUAAAAAAGAUAGAAAGAAUAUUGUAAAAAUGGCCAUACUGCUCAAAGUAAUUUAUAGAUUCCAUGCUAUUCUGACUAAACUACCACUAACAUUCUUCACAGAAUUAGAAAAAAAAAAAAUUUAAAACUCAUAUGAAAACCCAAAAGACCCCAUCUAGCCAAGAUAAUUCUUUUUGUUUUUUGAGACAGAGUCUCACUCUGUCACCCAGGCAGGAGUGCAAUGGCAUGAUCUCAGCUCAUUGCAACCUCCGCCUCCCAGGUUCAAGCGAUUCUCCUGCCUCAGCCUCCCAAGUAGCUAGGAUUACAGGAAUGUGCCACCAUGCCAGGCUAAUUUUUUGUAUUUUUAGUAGAGACAGGGUUUCACUAUGUUAGCCAGGCUUUUCUCAAACUCCUGACCUCAAGUGAUCCACCCGCCUCAGCCUCCCAAAAUGCUGAGAUUACAGGCGUGAGCCACUGUGCCUGGCCUAGUCAAGAGAAUUCUAGGCAAAAAACACAAAGCUGGAGGCAUCAUGAUAUCCAACUUCAAACUAUACUACAAAGCUGUAGUAACCAAAGCUGCCUGGUACUGUUAUAAAAACAUACAUAUAGACCAAUGGAAUAGAAUAGAGAACUGAGAAAUAAGAUUGCAUAUCUACAACCAUUUGAUCUUUGAAAACCCUGACAAAAACAAGCAAUGGAAAAGGAUUCCCUUUUAAUAAAUGGUGCUGGGAGAACUGGCUAGCCAUAUGCAGAAAAUUGAAAUUGGACCUCUUUCUUAUGCCUAUAAAAAAUUAACUCAAGAUGAAUUAAAGACUUAAAUGUGAAACCCAAAACUACAAGAACCCCUGAAGAAAAUCUAGGCAAUACUACUCAGGACAUAGGCAUGGGCAAAGAUUUCAUGAUGAAAAUGUCAAAAGCAAUUGCAAGAAAAGCAAACAUUGACAAAUGGGAUCUAAUUAAACUAAAGAGCUACUGCACAGCAAAAGUAAUUAUCACCAGGUGUGGUGGCUCACGCCUGUAACCACAGUGCUUUGGGAGGCCAAAGGGGGUAGAUGAGGAUGGGGUCAGGAGUUCAAGACCAGCCUGGCUAAGAUGGUGAAACCCC
This 2825-nucleotide long non-coding RNA is filed under the name Homo sapiens (human). Its description in RNAcentral is "HSALNT0396601". The record is from RNAcentral. Lineage: Eukaryota; Metazoa; Chordata; Mammalia; Primates; Hominidae.